GCGAGUGUAGUUUAAUGGUAGAACUUCAGCCUUCCAAGCUGACUGUGAGGGUUCGAUUCCCUUCACUCGCUCCA
This 74-nucleotide transfer RNA is filed under the name Mycoplasma sp. Its description in RNAcentral is "tRNA-Gly". It matches the Rfam family "tRNA". From Rfam's summary of the family: Transfer RNA (tRNA) molecules are approximately 80 nucleotides in length. Their secondary structure includes four short double-helical elements and three loops (D, anti-codon, and T loops). RNAcentral also lists the same sequence under 23 other names. The record is from RNAcentral. Lineage: Bacteria; Bacillati; Mycoplasmatota; Mollicutes; Mycoplasmatales; Mycoplasmataceae.